UUGACCUCGGAUCAGGUAGGGAUACCCGCUAACUU
This 35-nucleotide ribosomal RNA is filed under the name fungal sp. 5.60.3B. Its description in RNAcentral is "partial 28S ribosomal RNA". Lineage: Eukaryota; Fungi. The record is from RNAcentral.